CCUACGGGAGGCAGCAGUAGGGAAUAUUGCACAAUGGAGGAAACUCUGAUGCAGCCAUGCCGCGUGUGUGAAGAAGGCCUUCGGGUUGUAAAGCACUUUCGGUAGGGGAGGAAGAAAUGAACGUUACCCUCAGAAGAAGCACCGGCUAACUCCGUGCC
This 158-nucleotide ribosomal RNA is filed under the name uncultured bacterium. Its description in RNAcentral is "partial 16S ribosomal RNA". It matches the Rfam family "Bacterial small subunit ribosomal RNA", at positions 338 to 509 of the family's 1533-position model. The record is from RNAcentral.